CCCCGAUCACAAUGACAGUAGAAAAUACAGCAGAGCCAGAAAUUGUUCAGGAAACCGAAUUUUGAGUUUUCAGAAGUCCAAAUCCUACUCAAUCACUACCAAAACAAUUCCAAGAGCCACGAAAGAGUUUCUCACUUAAGGAAUUCCAGUUGCAAUUAAAUUCAACAUCAAAAGAGGAAUCACAAGCCAAAUUAAAAAGGGAUUUCAAAACCCUAGAAGGAUGGAAUUCUUCAGCUAUAAAAGAGCAACCUCCAAACCAGCAAGGGGCAUCNNNNN
RNAcentral lists this long non-coding RNA (276 nucleotides) under Manihot esculenta (cassava). RNAcentral describes it as "long non-coding RNA (MESC_LNC013011)". The record is from RNAcentral. Lineage: Eukaryota; Viridiplantae; Streptophyta; Magnoliopsida; Malpighiales; Euphorbiaceae.